CAGUCGCCGCGGUAAUACGGAGGGCGCGAGCGUUACCCGGAUUUACUGGGCGUAAAGGGCGUGUAGGCGGCCUGGGGCGUCCCAUGUGAAAGGCCACGGCUCAACCGUGGAGGAGCGUGGGAUACGCUCAGGCUAGAGGGUGGGAGAGGGUGGUGGAAUUCCCGGAGUAGCGGUGAAAUGCGCAGAUACCGGGAGGAACGCCGAUGGCGAAGGCAGCCACCUGGUCCACUUCUGACGCUGAGGCGCGAAAGCGUGGGGAGCAAACCGGAUUAGAUACCUCGGUAGUCCCUGUCUCUUAUAC
This 301-nucleotide ribosomal RNA is filed under the name uncultured bacterium. Its description in RNAcentral is "partial 16S ribosomal RNA". It matches the Rfam family "Bacterial small subunit ribosomal RNA", at positions 509 to 807 of the family's 1533-position model. The record is from RNAcentral.